Molecule: long non-coding RNA, 1163 nt
Organism: Ailuropoda melanoleuca (giant panda)
Lineage: Eukaryota; Metazoa; Chordata; Mammalia; Carnivora; Ursidae
Exons: 6
Source: RefSeq, a predicted model, not a curated record
GAGUUUGGCUCUCAGAAGGGCUAUGCAUGGCUUCUGACACCUGCUAUGCACUCCUCUAAAUUCUCUGUCCUUGACCUUGAAUGUCCCUCUUUGCCCAUGGUGUUUAAGUUUCCUUCUUUGGCCACUUGAUCUUCUGAGCUCUUAACAUUAAACUUGAGUGUGUCCUCUGCAUUCGCUCAACAUUUACAUUUUGCCAUUCUGUCUGUCGUCUUCUUGGUCUGACCUCGGUCUCAAGCUCUGUUCCGACCGACUCAGUAGUAAGCUGUGUAUGACAUCGUAUCACUAAAGCGCCUGGACUACCACUUCAACGUGCAGAUAAUUUCAGUUACCAUGUCAACCGCGGCUGGGAAGCAGAUGGACGUCCUCUGACGACAACUCAGAUGGUCAAUAGCAGCCUCGCUCCACGUCACUCCACGUCACAACGCCUGCGUCAUUCACCUCCCCGGUCUCCUCUCCUGGGCAUGUUCUCUCACACCAUCUAAGAAGGCAAUAAAGAGUAGUUACAGUAAGAAGCACAAAUAUGGCAAAGCUGGACAUGAUGGAGAUUAUUACAGUCAUGGAGUAUGUAGGUGAGACAGAGAAGGAGGAAGAGGAAGAGGAAGGCAAGUCUGGAAUGUCCACGCUCGGCUUUGAGGAUGUCAUGGGUGGGAAUGCUUCGCCCUUGGUCAACCACGAUCCAGAGGCAAAUGCUCCUCCGACGCACCGUGGGAAGGUCACAGGAAGCCUCCCAUUACGUCUUCACACCUGCAUCACUCAGCCUCACUGUGUCUCAUCUCGUAAGCAUUUUCUCAUCUCACAUCAUCACAAGAGGGGAAAAAUCUGAAGGAGUCUGAAGGAAGUGUCAAUGAAAACUAAGUGACUGAGGCUGUCCUCACUAGAAAUUCUAAAUUUCUCAAGAAGACCAGCCAGCAAGGAGGCAGUGCACAUUUCUUCAGAUAUGCCAGAGUGACACACGGUGACCCAUCUGCCCCCCUGAUGGGAGAUUCUCCCAACUUAGUCUAAGCUCACGGGUUGUGGACUCUUGACAACCGACACAGACUGACUGCUCUCAGGUUACUUGAUUCUAACCAGCAAUGACUGAUAGAGUUGAAGUGAAAGCAAAUAAAAACAAACAAAAAGAAUCACACAGGAGCAGGUGAAAUGAUUUCAUCUAAAUUUGGUUG